Molecule: signal recognition particle RNA, 117 nt
Filed under: Chlorocebus sabaeus (green monkey)
Lineage: Eukaryota; Metazoa; Chordata; Mammalia; Primates; Cercopithecidae
Description: Metazoan signal recognition particle RNA
Rfam family: Metazoan signal recognition particle RNA
About the family: The signal recognition particle (SRP) is a universally conserved ribonucleoprotein. It is involved in the co-translational targeting of proteins to membranes.
Source: Rfam by way of RNAcentral
GCCAGGCGUGGUGGCUCACGCCUGUAAUCCUAGCACUUGGGGAGGCCGAGGUGGGUGGAUCGCCUGAGGCCAGGAAUUCAAGACCAGCCUGGCCAACAUGGUGAAACCCCACCUCUA